RNAcentral lists this transfer RNA (84 nucleotides) under Selenomonadaceae bacterium. RNAcentral describes it as "tRNA-Leu". It matches the Rfam family "tRNA". Rfam says of the family: Transfer RNA (tRNA) molecules are approximately 80 nucleotides in length. Their secondary structure includes four short double-helical elements and three loops (D, anti-codon, and T loops). Further hydrogen bonds mediate the characteristic L-shaped molecular structure. tRNAs have two regions of fundamental functional importance: the anti-codon, which is responsible for specific mRNA codon recognition, and the 3' end, to which the tRNAs corresponding amino acid is attached (by aminoacyl-tRNA synthetases). tRNAs cope with the degeneracy of the genetic code in two manners: having more than one tRNA (with a specific anti-codon) for a particular amino acid; and 'wobble' base-pairing, i.e. permitting non-standard base-pairing at the 3rd anti-codon position. Lineage: Bacteria; Bacillati; Bacillota; Negativicutes; Selenomonadales; Selenomonadaceae. The record is from RNAcentral.
GCGGAUGUGGCGGAAUUGGCAGACGCGCCAGACUUAGGAUCUGGUACCUUUGGUGUGGGGGUUCAAGUCCCUUCAUCCGCACCA